RNAcentral lists this long non-coding RNA (2023 nucleotides) under Ananas comosus (pineapple). Its description in RNAcentral is "long non-coding RNA (ACOM_LNC023853)". The record is from RNAcentral. Lineage: Eukaryota; Viridiplantae; Streptophyta; Magnoliopsida; Poales; Bromeliaceae.
GAUGGCGAUGGUAGCCGUGGUGGGGGAGGAGUACUGCGCUGAGGGAGAGCGGGAGCUGACGGUGCGGAAGACGUCGGUCUUCUACCCGGGCGACGGCUUCGCUGCCUACGACCACCGGACGGGCGACCUCGUCUUCCGCGUCGACACCUACGCCCUCGCCGACCGCCGCCAGAUGAUGAAGCAGCUCGUCCUCAUGGAUCCCCACGGCGCCUCCAUCCUCACCGUCCGCCGCAAGGUAUCGGUAUCCUCUCUUCUGUUUCUUAUUAAUUUUUUCUUACAUGAUAAGCAUAUAAGCAAGUAAAAGUAGAGUAGCGGAGUGUGAUCGAUUUUUCUUUGUUUUUUUUUUUUGAUUGGAUGCAGUAGUGGCCCAGCCUGCACCAGCGGUGGGAGGGGUUCAAAGGAGAGCGAAUCGAAGGCCAGAAGCCUCUCUUCACCGUCAGGAGAUCCUCCAUCUUCGGCGGCGAUCGCAGCGUCGUGGNAAAAAAAAAAAAAAAAAAAAACAAGCCUGCAAGGUGAACGAGUAAAGGUCACCUUACUAGAGAGCAAAACAGUUUGCCAACUUUUAAUUAGCAGAUUAAAGAAUAGGUGCAAGUAGAUAUGAGAUGCUUAAACGGAAAUAAAAAACUUUUAGAAGUUCGAGUUUUAUCCUUUAAUAACUCUUAUUAUUAUAUUAUUUAUUUUUUUGAGAAAAAGAUAGCAAAUUAUCUGCUUCAUUCAUUCGAUAAAAUGAAAUAGGAAUACAUACUAGAAGCAGAUAAGGCUUUCGAAAAAAGAUAAAAAAUAAAUCGAAGAAAGAAGAAAAAAAGAGAGAGAGAGGGGUAGAGUGAUAAGGAGAAAGGAUCAGUGAACAACGGAUGGCUCAUUCUACGUGGUGGUCAAAAGUUUUUUUUUAAGAAAUAGGUAGCAAGCUACCUGCUUCAUUCAUUAAGUAAAAUGAACUGAGCAUACAAGUUGGAGGCAGCUUAGAUUUUCGAAAAGCCAACAAAAAAGUAAAAGUUAGGAAUUAAACAAAAAGAAAAUCAAGGUGAUCAAAAGUUUGACACGCAUAAUUAUUAUAAUAUCAUUUAUGCACAUAAUUUUUCAUUACUCUUAUAUAUAAUGUUUCUUUGGUCAAAUUAGAAAGAAAAAACCGCUGGCCUUCAGAUGUGUGGUGUGGAAGGAAAGGGUGAACGGGUGACCCAAACUGCUGACUUGGCUUACGACUAAAUGCGCCGUGCAUAAGCGAGCGAGUGGCUUCAGCGAGUUUGGUGGCACCGACCCAUCACAUCGUACAAACCCGGAGGAAUUAAAAAGCGUAUGUUCACAACUUUUACUUAUGAUUAUACAUACACACAUACAAUACGACCGUGACCGUGCUAUAAUUAAUUUUAUAUUUAUACAUUAAUUAUUGCGAUUCGAUCGUAAUGGAGAUGGGAUAAAUAAAAUAUCGUCGAUCGACGUUUCGUCUGUAGGCCCCCGGAACAGAAACCGGAACCCCACUCGUUGCCACACGUCCAGCGGCUCCCAUUUGCGCAAUUUAUAAUGUGUGGUGGCCUCGGCACGGCAUUCACCUGCAGUUCUCGCCUUUUAAAGCGCCUACUCUACUACUAACAUAGUUUAUAUAGGGUUCCUUUCAUUUUUUUUUUUUUUUCUUUUCUUUUCACUUUUAAAAGAGCAAGCAGCAUCUGGCUUUUGUUGGUGUUUUCAAGUGCGAGCAAGUUGGUAUUGGUAUUGGUAUUGUUUAGUAAUAGAUGGAGAUGGAGAUGGAGAUGGAGAUGGCGAUGGCGAUGGCGAUGGCGAUGGUAGCCGUGGUGGGGGAGGAGUACUGCGCUGAGGGAGAGCGGGAGCUGACGGUGCGGAAGACGUCGGUCUUCUACCCGGGCGACGGCUUCGCUGCCUACGACCACCGGACGGGCGACCUCGUCUUCCGCGUCGACACCUACGCCCUCGCCGACCGCCGCCAGAUGAUGAAGCAGCUCGUCCUCAUGGAUCCCCACGGCGCCUCCAUCCUCACCGUCCGCCGCAAGGUAUCGGUAUCCUCUCU